This 69-nucleotide transfer RNA is filed under the name Rattus norvegicus (Norway rat). It matches the Rfam family "tRNA". From Rfam's summary of the family: Transfer RNA (tRNA) molecules are approximately 80 nucleotides in length. Lineage: Eukaryota; Metazoa; Chordata; Mammalia; Rodentia; Muridae. The record is from Rfam by way of RNAcentral.
GGGGAUUUAGCUCAGCGGUAGAGUGCUUGCCUAGCAAGCACAAGGCCCUGGGUUCGAUCCCCAGCUCCG